UCGGGAAUAUUGGACAAUGGGGGCAACCCUGAUCCAGCAACUCCGCGUGAGGGAUGAAGGCCCUCGGGUCGUAAACCUCUGUCAGAAGGGAAGAAAACUGCAGGUCAAACAGGCCUGUAGCUUGACGGUACCUUCAAAGGAAGCACCGGCUAACUCCGUGCCAGCAGCCGCGGUAAUACGGAGGGUGCAAGCGUUGUUCGGAAUUAUUGGGCGUAAAGCGGGUGUAGGCGGCUUUGCAAGUCAAGUGUGAAAUCCCAGAGCCCAACCCUGGAACUGCACUCGAUACUGCAUCGCUAGAGUCCCGGAGAGGAUGGCGGAAUUCCAGGUGUAGAGGUGAAAUUCGUAGAUAUCUGGAGGAACACCAGUGGCGAAGGCGGCCAUCUGGACGGUGACUGACGCUCAGACCCGAAAGCGUGGGGAGCGAAACAGGAUUAGAUACCCUGGUAGUCCACGCCGUAAACGUUGGGUGCUCGUCGUAGCGGGUA
Molecule: ribosomal RNA, 485 nt
Filed under: uncultured Pseudomonadota bacterium
Lineage: Bacteria; Pseudomonadati; Pseudomonadota
Description: bacterial SSU rRNA
Rfam family: Bacterial small subunit ribosomal RNA
Source: RNAcentral